Molecule: ribosomal RNA, 593 nt
Filed under: uncultured bacterium
Lineage: Bacteria
Description: partial 16S ribosomal RNA
Rfam family: Bacterial small subunit ribosomal RNA
Source: RNAcentral
UGGGGAAUCUUCCGCAAUGGACGAAAGUCUGACGGAGCAACGCCGCGUGAGUGAAGAAGGUUUUCGGAUCGUAAAAACUCUGUCUUUUGGGGCGAACGUGAGUAUGGUGAACAAUCAUAGUCAGUGACGGUACCAAAGGAGGAAGCCACGGCUAACUACGUGCCAGCAGCCGCGGUAAUACGUAGGUGGCAAGCGUUGUCCGGAAUUAUUGGGCGUAAAGAGCGCGUAGGCGGGAUAGUCAGUCUGUUGUAAAAGUGCGGGGCUCAACCCCGUGAUCGCAAUGGAAACAGCUAUUCUUGAGUGCAGGAGAGGAAAGUGGAAUUCCCAGUGUAGCGGUGAAAUGCGUAGGUAUUGGGAGGAACACCAGUGGCGAAGGCGACUUUCUGGACUGUGUCUGACGCUGAGGCGCGAAAGCCAGGGGAGCGAACGGGAUUAGAUACCCCGGUAGUCCUGGCCGUAAACGAUGGGUACUAGGUGUGGGAGGUAUCGACCCCCUUUCCGUGCCGGAGUUAACGCAAUAAGUACCCCCGCCUGGGGAGUACGGUCGCAAGACUGAAACUUAAAUGAAUUGACGGGGUCAUAGCUGUUUCCUG